Molecule: ribosomal RNA, 492 nt
Filed under: uncultured bacterium
Lineage: Bacteria
Description: partial 16S ribosomal RNA
Rfam family: Bacterial small subunit ribosomal RNA
Source: RNAcentral
AAUGAACGCUGGCGGUAGGCCUAACACAUGCAAGUCGAGCGGCAGCACAGUAAGAGCUUGCUCUUACGGGUGGCGAGUGGCGGACGGGUGAGGAAUACAUCGGAAUCUACUUUUUCGUGGGGGAUAACGUAGGGAAACUUACUCUAAUACCGCAUACGACCUACGGGUGAAAGCAGGGGAUCUUUGGACCUUGCGCGAUUGAAUGAGCCGAUGUCGGAUUCGCUAGUUGGCGGGGUAAAGGCCCGCCAAGGCGACGAUCCGUAGCUGGUCUGAGAGGAUGAUCAGCCACACUGGAACUGAGACACGGUCCAGACUCCUACGGGAGGCAGCAGUGGGGAAUAUUGGACAAUGGGCGCAAGCCUGAUCCAGCCAUACCGCGUGGGUGAAGAAGGCCUUCGGGUUGUAAAGCCCUUUUGUUGGGAAAGAAAAGCAGCAGGUUAAUACCCCGCUGUUCUGACGGUACCCAAAGAAUAAGCACCGGCUAACUUCGUG